Non-coding RNA from Pelodiscus sinensis (Chinese soft-shelled turtle), 872 nucleotides. The record is from RefSeq and is a predicted model, not a curated record. Lineage: Eukaryota; Metazoa; Chordata; Testudines; Trionychidae.
CGUGUUUUUUUUGCCCAGCUGAAGGAUUGAUCACCCUGAGGCUGCCUUCCCCACCCUUCGAGUCAAAGAUAGGGGUGCGCGAGUCCUGAGCAUGCUCCGAGUUUUUGUGUGUCUUCAUGUUGUUAUCAUUGCUGGAUUUCCGUGAGUAUGGAAUCGGAUGGAAAGGAUCAUUCUGAACAGACAGAUGCACCACAUAUGUAGUCUAUACCAGUUUAUUCCUGUGCUGGACCAAUCGGGACUGAGGAGUGAGCCACACCACCUGAGCCAGCCACCAGAGUCCAGGGGUCCUGAAAGUCCACCAAGCUCCAGGAAGACCUCAUGAGGCAGCAUGUCAACUUCUUUCGCAACAUGCAGCAGACCCUGGCACAGAAGAUCCAGGAGGACGCAGAGUGGAGGAACUGCACCUGGGACCAGCUCAUGCAGUGGUGCAAUAGCAUGUGUGCCAUCAUGCGUGAUAUGAUGGCACAUGCAGAUGCUAUUGCUGCUCCUGCUUACCAUCCUCCUGCCCCCUCCCCACUAUGCCCAUUCCCCCUCGCCCUGCCCCCCCAAGCAAUGCCUCUUCUGCUUCCCCAAACAAUGCCCAUGCCCCCUCCCUAAGUGAGGCCUAUGCCCUCUCUUUUUCCCCCUCCCUGCCAUCCCUGACCUUGCUCCAGCCCCCCUGUGUACUCCCUCUGUGGUCCCAGAACCCACCCCAAGUCCGAUGAGGUCUCCGAGCUCCAAUUGGCACAUCCAGCUAGUCCCAACACCACUCUAAGCGCCCCCUCCAGGUUUUGAGCCCUCUUCUCCAGCUUUUCUUUAAUGAAAGAUCAAUACACGGUUCAUUUUGUUUAAAACCAAACAGGUGUCUUUAUUGAGAGGUCAAGGAAGGGGUG